UGGGUGGUAUAUUUCAUCUAAAGCUAAAUACUGGCCAGAGACCGAUAGCGCACAAGUAGAGUGAUCGAAAGAUGAAAAGCACUUUGGAAAGAGAGUUAAACAGUACGUGAAAUUGUUGAAAGGGAAGCGCUUGCAAUCAGACUUGCGCCCGGGGUUCAGCGGGGUUUCUACCCCGUGUACUUCCCCGGGCUCAGGCCAGCAUCGGUUUGGGUGGUUGGAUAAAGGCCGGGAGAAUGUGGCCCUCUUCGGGGGGUGUUAUAGCUCCAGGCGCCAUGCAGCCCACCUGGACCGAGGACCGCGCUUCGGCUAGGAUGCUGG
RNAcentral lists this ribosomal RNA (318 nucleotides) under Monilinia oxycocci. RNAcentral describes it as "eukaryotic LSU rRNA". It matches the Rfam family "Eukaryotic large subunit ribosomal RNA", at positions 293 to 629 of the family's 3401-position model. Lineage: Eukaryota; Fungi; Ascomycota; Leotiomycetes; Helotiales; Sclerotiniaceae. The record is from RNAcentral.